RNAcentral lists this small nucleolar RNA (133 nucleotides) under Dasypus novemcinctus (nine-banded armadillo). RNAcentral describes it as "Small nucleolar RNA SNORA31 (ENSDNOG00000031110.1)". It matches the Rfam family "Small nucleolar RNA SNORA31". Rfam says of the family: ACA31 (SNORA31) belongs to the H/ACA class of snoRNAs which are thought to guide the sites of modification of uridines to pseudouridines. ACA31 is predicted to guide the pseudouridylation of U3713 in 28S rRNA and U218 in 18S rRNA. Lineage: Eukaryota; Metazoa; Chordata; Mammalia; Cingulata; Dasypodidae. The record is from RNAcentral.
AUGCGUCUCUGACAGACCUGGAGCAGUUAAUGUCUGCUGCUAAGGUUUCCACUACAGCUGCAAGAAAAAGAAGGUCCUCGCGCUUUCUGUCUGUCUGGUUGUAGCAGCCAAGAUUGAAUGCGGGAAUACAGGA